AUUGAACGCUGGCGGCAUGCCUUACACAUGCAAGUCGAACGGCAGCACGGGUGCUUGCACCUGGUGGCGAGUGGCGAACGGGUGAGUAAUACAUCGGAACAUGUCCUGUAGUGGGGGAUAGCCCGGCGAAAGCCGGAUUAAUACCGCAUACGAUCCACGGAUGAAAGCGGGGGACCUUCGGGCCUCGCGCUAUAGGGUUGGCCGAUGGCUGAUUAGCUAGUUGGUGGGGUAAAGGCCUACCAAGGCGACGAUCAGUAGCUGGUCUGAGAGGACGACCAGCCACACUGGGACUGAGACACGGCCCAGACUCCUACGGGAGGCAGCAGUGGGGAAUUUUGGACAAUGGGCGAAAGCCUGAUCCAGCAAUGCCGCGUGUGUGAAGAAGGACUUCGGGUUGUAAAGCACUCUUGUCCGGAAAGAAAUCCUUGACUCUAAUACAGUCGGGGGAUGACGGUACCGGAAGAAUAAGCACCGGCUAACUACGUG
RNAcentral lists this ribosomal RNA (486 nucleotides) under uncultured bacterium. RNAcentral describes it as "partial 16S ribosomal RNA". It matches the Rfam family "Bacterial small subunit ribosomal RNA", at positions 30 to 507 of the family's 1533-position model. The record is from RNAcentral.